Molecule: long non-coding RNA, 205 nt
Filed under: Hordeum vulgare
Lineage: Eukaryota; Viridiplantae; Streptophyta; Magnoliopsida; Poales; Poaceae
Description: long non-coding RNA (HVUL_LNC014911)
Source: RNAcentral
UUUUUUUAUUUCUUUUUGGCUCCAAACUAUUUCCUAGAAAAUAGUGAAUAUAUUUGUGGGGCCUAUUUGGAUUAUUUCCACGCUCCACAAAGUAUUUCAACUUUUUAUAACACCAUGGAAAAUUUAUAACAAAUUGUUUGGGUAUUUAUCAGUGGCUUCUGUGGUUUCAUUAAAACGCCAAAUGUAUUUUAAAAAUAAUAUCCAC